Molecule: ribosomal RNA, 538 nt
Filed under: uncultured bacterium
Lineage: Bacteria
Description: partial 16S ribosomal RNA
Rfam family: Bacterial small subunit ribosomal RNA
Source: RNAcentral
UGGGGAAUUUUGGACAAUGGGCGAAAGCCUGAUCCAGCAAUGCCGCGUGUGUGAAGAAGGCCUUCGGGUUGUAAAGCACUUUUGUCCGGAAAGAAAUCCUCUGGGUUAAUACCUCGGGGGGAUGACGGUACCGGAAGAAUAAGCACCGGCUAACUACGUGCCAGCAGCCGCGGUAAUACGUAGGGUGCAAGCGUUAAUCGGAAUUACUGGGCGUAAAGCGUGCGCAGGCGGUUUUGUAAGACGGAUGUGAAAUCCCCGGGCUUAACCUGGGAACUGCAUUCGUGACUGCAAGGCUAGAGUAUGGCAGAGGGGGGUAGAAUUCCACGUGUAGCAGUGAAAUGCGUAGAGAUGUGGAGGAAUACCGAUGGCGAAGGCAGCCCCCUGGGCCAAUACUGACGCUCAUGCACGAAAGCGUGGGGAGCAAACAGGAUUAGAUACCCUGGUAGUCCACGCCCUAAACGAUGUCAACUAGUUGUUGGGAUUCAUUCCUUAGUAACGUAGCUAACGCGUGAAGUUGACCGCCUGGGGAGUACGGUCG